GAUGAACGCUGGCGGCGUGCCUAACACAUUCAAGUCGAACGGUGACGGGGACUUCGGUCCCCUGAUCAGUGGCGGACGGGUGAGUAACGCGUGAGCAACCUGCCUCUGCGUGGGGGAUAACGAUUGGAAACGAUCGCUAAUACCGCAUAAUGUAAUUUCUUGGCAUCUUGAAAUUACCAAAGAUUUAUUGCGCAGAGAUGGGCUCGCGUCUGAUUAGAUAGUUGGUGGGGUAACGGCCUACCAAGUCGACGAUCAGUAGCCGGACUGAGAGGUUGAACGGCCACAUUGGAACUGAGAAACGGUCCAGACUCCUACGGGAGGCAGCAGUGGGGAAUAUUGGGCAAUGGGCGAAAGCCUGACCCAGCGACGCCGCGUGCGGGAAGAAGGUCUUCGGAUUGUAAACCGCUGUUGAUAGGGAAGAAGAAAGUGACGGUACCUAUCGAGGAAGUCACGGCUAACUACGUG
This 465-nucleotide ribosomal RNA is filed under the name uncultured bacterium. Its description in RNAcentral is "bacterial SSU rRNA". It matches the Rfam family "Bacterial small subunit ribosomal RNA", at positions 28 to 507 of the family's 1533-position model. The record is from RNAcentral.